This 236-nucleotide ribosomal RNA is filed under the name uncultured bacterium. RNAcentral's name for it is "partial 16S ribosomal RNA". It matches the Rfam family "Bacterial small subunit ribosomal RNA", at positions 524 to 759 of the family's 1533-position model. The record is from RNAcentral.
UACGGAGGAUCCAAGCGUUAUCCGGAAUCAUUGGGUUUAAAGGGUCCGUAGGCGGUUUGGUAAGUCAGUGGUGAAAGCCCAUCGCUCAACGGUGGAACGGCCAUUGAUACUGCCAGACUUGAAUUAUUAGGAAGUAACUAGAAUAUGUAGUGUAGCGGUGAAAUGCUUAGAGAUUACAUGGAAUACCAAUUGCGAAGGCAGGUUACUACUAAUGGAUUGACGCUGAUGGACGGAAA